This 810-nucleotide long non-coding RNA is filed under the name Numida meleagris (helmeted guineafowl). RNAcentral's name for it is "lncRNA (ENSNMEG00000003044.1)". The record is from RNAcentral. Lineage: Eukaryota; Metazoa; Chordata; Aves; Galliformes; Numididae.
GGCGGGGGCUAAAACCGAGCCGGGGAGCACGCGCCCGCCCAGCCAGGUCCCUGCUCGGCGUCCGGGGCCGCUCCCAGCGCCGUGCGAUCGUCGGGGGCCGCCUCUCCUCAGCACCCCCCAGCAGUGGCACGUCCCUGUGGGCGCCGGGGCACGCGUGACAGCGAGCGCAUUGUGACACGUUGCCCUGCAGAACAUCAGGAGGGCUGCGCCCCGGGCAGAGCAGUCGGUGCAGAGCGACGGCGCCGAGAGGAGGUGGAGAGCGGAGGAGAGGAGAGCAAAGCCAGAAAGAGCCAGAAAGAGCAAUCCCAGCCCACAGCAUGGUUGGGGGUCGUUCCAGUUCUGUCUACAGGCUGCCAGCAGUGAGCGGCGAAGCCAUGGCGGAGGAGUUGCGGGAGUCACUGUUGGCAGCCACAGCUCAAUUGGCCGCAACGCGGCAGGAGGUGAUGGAGAUCAGGAGGCGGCGUGUGCAGCUGGAGCGGGCCUUGAAGGAGCGGCAGGAAAUCAACGAGGCCCUGCUGCAGGAAAUUGAGGAUCUCCGAGCGGCUCAGCGGAGCCGCAGGAGUCGCCCUGCGCGGUGAGUGAGGCCCAGCACAAGCCAGGCCUGAGGCAGAGGGGAGUUGGGAUCCCGGCCCCCCAGGCAGCUGUGGCCCCGGCUGGGGCUCGGGAAGGCCGGGCCCGUGCAGGGCUGGCACCGAGAGGCGCCCGUCCCAGCUCCAGCAGAGGCCGGGCAGCGGCUUCGGGUCCCUGCGGCCGCCCUGGGGGGAGAGGUCCCGCUGCCGGCCGAGGCCUCUUCUCACACGCCCAACUCCC